GGGAAAACUUUAAGUCUUUGGGCUCCGGGGGGAGUAUGGUUGCAAAGCUGAAACUUAAAGGAAUUGA
This 67-nucleotide ribosomal RNA is filed under the name Marinifilum sp. JC120. RNAcentral describes it as "partial 16S ribosomal RNA". It matches the Rfam family "Eukaryotic small subunit ribosomal RNA", at positions 1091 to 1156 of the family's 1831-position model. The record is from RNAcentral. Lineage: Bacteria; Pseudomonadati; Bacteroidota; Bacteroidia; Marinilabiliales; Marinifilaceae.